CAAAGGUAGCAUAAUCAUUAGUUUUUUAAUUGAAAACUUGUAUGAAAGGCUGGACAAAAGAAAAGCUGUCUUUAGAGUAUAAAUUGAAAUUUACUUUUAAGUGAAAAGGCUUAAAUGUUUCAAAGGGACGAUAAGACCCUAUAAAGCUUUAUAUAUUAUUUGAAUUUGAUUAAUUUAAUGAUAAAAAUUAAAUUUAAUUAUUUUAUUUCGUUGGGGCGAUGUGAGUAGAACUGUUUGUAACUGCUUAAGAGAAAUACAAUUGUAAGUGAUUUACAUAUAUGAUCCUUUAUUAAAGAUUAAAAGACUAAGUUACUUUAGGGAUAACAGCGUUAUUUUUUUUGAGAGUUCAUAUCGAAAAAAAAGUUUGCGACCUCGAUGUUGAAUUAAAAUUUCUAUAUAAUGCAGCAGUUAUAAGAGAAGGUCUGUUCGACCUUUAAAUUUUUACAUGAUUUGAGUUCA
Molecule: ribosomal RNA, 459 nt
Filed under: Miersiella haswelli
Lineage: Eukaryota; Metazoa; Arthropoda; Malacostraca; Decapoda; Xanthidae
Description: partial 16S ribosomal RNA
Rfam family: Bacterial large subunit ribosomal RNA
Source: RNAcentral